UAAUUAUAAUUUUAUUUUUUAUUUUAUUUUUAUUUAUUUUUAUAAAAAUAAUUUUGGUUUUAGUAAUUUUUAUUGAAAUAUUUUGUUUAUAAUGAUAGUUUAUAGUACUGUGAAGGAAAUAUUUUUUUUAUAAUGAAGCAUAUUUAAUUUAUAGUACCUUUUGUAUCAGGGUUUAUUAAUUUUAUAUUAAUUAUUUAAUUUUCUCGAAAUUAAAAGAGAUAUAAUAUAAUGUUAUUUUAUGUAUAAUAAUAAUUGAUAAUUUUAUUAUAGGAGUUAUAUGCUAUUCAAUUUUAAAUAUCUGGUUUUUUAAUAAAUGAAUUUAAUUCAGACAAAUUUUUAUUAAUUUAUAAUUUUAUUUAUUUUAAUUAUUAAUUUGUUAAUAUUAUUAGGGAUAAGCUUAAUAAUAUAUCUAUAAUUUAUUAUUUUGUUAAAUUUUUGUAGGCUUGGUAAUGGUCAUCAUUGAUUUUGUUAUAAUUCAUUUUUAAUUUUUAUUAAUUUAAUUUUUAUUUAGUUUAUUAUUAAAAUUUUUUAUUUAAUUUUUAAUUAUUAGUAAUAAUGAUAAAAUUAGUAGUUUUGUUAAUUUAAAUAUAAUAAUUCGGCAAUUUAGAUCUUCGCCUGUUUAACAAAAACAUGUCCUAUAGAAUUAAUUUUAGGUCUGACCUGCCCAAUGAAUAUAAUUUUAAUGGCCGCAGUAUUUUAACUGUGCAAAGGUAGCAUAAUCACUUGUCUUUUAAUUGAAGGCUUGAAUGAAUGGUUGGACGAGGGAUUGACUUUUUUUAUUUAAAUUUAAUGAAUUUGAUUUUUUAGUUAAAAAGCUUAAAUUUUUUUGUAAGACGAGAAGACCCUAUAGAAUUUUAAUUUUACAGUUUUAUUGAUUUGAUAUGAUAAAUUAAUUUUAAAUUAAUAUGCUGAAAAAUUUUUGUUGGGGUGACAGUGAGAAUAUUAUAACUCUCAUUAAUAAUUUUCAUUUAUUUAUGUAUAUUUUGAUCCUUUAUUAUGGAUUGAAAGAUUAAAUUACCUUAGGGAUAACAGCGUAAUUCUUUCGGAGAGUUCUUAUCGAUGAAUGGAGUUUGCGACCUCGAUGUUGGAUUAAAAUAAGUAUUAGGUGCAAAAGCUUAAUUACUAAGUCUGUUCGACUUUUGAAUUUUUACAUGAUCUGAGUUCAAACCGGCGUGAGCCAGGUUGGUUUCUAUCUACAAUUUUAUUUUGAUAUUUUAGUACGAAAGGACCAAAUAUUAAUAAUAAUUAUUUAAUUUUUGAUUAUAAUUA
RNAcentral lists this ribosomal RNA (1269 nucleotides) under Aeschyntelus notatus. RNAcentral's name for it is "16S ribosomal RNA". The stretch from base 1025 to 1184 matches the Rfam family "Bacterial large subunit ribosomal RNA", at positions 2473 to 2632 of the family's 2925-position model. The record is from RNAcentral. Lineage: Eukaryota; Metazoa; Arthropoda; Insecta; Hemiptera; Rhopalidae.